Long non-coding RNA from Neocloeon triangulifer, 1052 nucleotides. RefSeq lists it as uncharacterized. The record is from RefSeq and is a predicted model, not a curated record. Lineage: Eukaryota; Metazoa; Arthropoda; Insecta; Ephemeroptera; Baetidae. The transcript has 3 exons.
AAGGCGAGCAAACUUUAAUCAACCGUCAGUGCGAAAAAAGUCUUUCACGCAAUAACACGCAAAACUUCACGCGAAAAAUGAUGAUCCGCUACUUUUUGAUUUCGUCGGCGCUGAUUUUUCUGCUGGUCAACGCUGCAACCUGGUCGACCUACUCUCCGCCAGAGCAGGAUAUUUGCCUGUUGAAACCGUUGUCGCAGAACCUUCAAGCAUGCCGUGCAGGAUUUCGCAUGUUCACGUUCAACGCGGCCAGAGGUAGAUGCGAGAAAUAUAUCUAUGGAGGAUGCUUCGGCACCAAAAACCUAUUUCGGACUCAAGCCGAGUGCGAAAACGCCUGCAAACAUCUUAUUCAAAGAAGAACAACAAAACGGACAGGAAAAUAAGCAGUACAUAUACUGCCUUGGAUACUGAGACUUACAAAGUCAUUAGAAUUUACCAUGUGAAAACCUGCAAAUCACUGUUAAAAAAGCUUUGAAAUUAAAUCAAAACUCGUGAAAUUUCCUGAAAAAUUUAUCAAUCACUGAAAUAUUGUUCUCUUCACAUUAAAGAAUAAAAAUCUUGCAACUAAUUUCAGAAAAAUGUUUAAACAAUUACGUAAAUAAAUUAUGGUCUAAUGAGUUUAUACAAUAUGUUUUAGUUUAAAAUCAUGUUUAUUAAUGUAUCACCGAGCAUUCUCUUCCCAAAUACAUCAUCCAUCAAUCAAUAUUAUAAAUUACAUUGAUUACAAGAGAGAUAAAUUUUAUUAAAGAUUUAUUAUUAUUGUUGUUUAUUUGUCCAAAUUGUUACAUCACAUUGUUUACAUACAGAUUGUUGAAAACAUUUAUUUUGAAAAAAGAAAUUGUUGGACAAAACGGCACCACCACUAGCAAAAAUUUUGCUAAAACUUCCGAGGCCAAAAAGACCCCAUCCGCCGCAGUGAGCCUCGGUUGACUAAGUUUUGUUCUUUAACUGGCACUGAUUUAUAAAAAAAAAAUUGUAUAAUUUUAUUUAAAUUAAUGUUCCUUACUUAUAAAAAUGAGUCAGUAGUGUAAAGGUGAAAUUUGGAUAAAAAGCAA